RNAcentral lists this ribosomal RNA (459 nucleotides) under uncultured bacterium. RNAcentral's name for it is "partial 16S ribosomal RNA". It matches the Rfam family "Bacterial small subunit ribosomal RNA", at positions 339 to 795 of the family's 1533-position model. The record is from RNAcentral.
CUACGGGACGCACCAGUAAGGAAUAUUGCGCAAUGGAGGCAACUCUGACGCAGCCAUGCCGCGUGCAGGAAGAAGGCCUUAUGGGUCGUAAACUGCUUUUAUUUAGGAAUAAACCCCCGAACGUGUUCGGGGCUGAAGGUACUAAACGAAUAAGCACCGGCUAACUCCGUGCCAGCAGCCGCGGUAAUACGGAGGGUGCAAGCGUUAUCCGGAUUUAUUGGGUUUAAAGGGUGCGCAGGCGGGCUAUUAAGUCAGUGGUGAAAUCCCGGGGCUCAACUCCGGAACUGCCAUUGAUACUGAUAGUCUUGAGUUUGGUUGAAGUGGGCGGAAUGUAGCAUGUAGCGGUGAAAUGCAUAGAUAUGCUACAGAACACCAAUCGCGAAGGCAGCUCACUAAGCCAAAACUGACGCUCAUGCACGAAAGCGUGGAGAUCAAACAGGAUUAGAUACCCGAGUAGUC